Molecule: unclassified non-coding RNA, 103 nt
Filed under: uncultured Dioszegia
Lineage: Eukaryota; Fungi; Basidiomycota; Tremellomycetes; Tremellales; Bulleribasidiaceae
Description: sequence contains ITS1
Source: RNAcentral
AUAAAUGGCGAAAGCUUUAUAUUAUCCAUAACACCUGUGAACUAUUUGCCUUUGGGCACCAAUACAAACAUAAAGUAAUGAAUGUAAUCUAUUAUAACAAAUA